UGGAUCCAGACUUUGAUUAUGGCUCAGGAUGAACGCUAGCUACAGGCUUAACACAUGCAAGUCGAGGGGAAACGACAUCGAAAGCUUGCUUUUGAUGGGCGUCGACCGGCGCACGGGUGAGUAACGCGUAUCCGACCUGCCCACCACUUGGGGAUAACCUUGCGAAAGUAAGACUAAUACCCAAUGAUAUCUCUAGAAGACAUCUGAAAGAGAUUAAAGAUUUAUCGGUGAUGGAUGGGGAUGCGUCUGAUUAGCUUGUUGGCGGGGUAACGGCCCACCAAGGCGACGAUCAGUAGGGGUUCUGAGAGGAAGGUCCCCCACAUUGGAACUGAGACACGGUCCAAACUCCUACGGGAGGCAGCAGUGAGGAAUAUUGGUCAAUGGACGAGAGUCUGAACCAGCCAAGUAGCGUGCAGGAUGACGGCCCUAUGGGUUGUAAACUGCUUUUAUAAGGGAAUAAAGUGAGUCUCGUGAGACUUUUUGCAUGUACCUUAUGAAUAAGGACCGGCUAAUUCCGUGCCAGCAGCCGCGGUAAUACGGAAGGUCCGGGCGUUAUCCGGAUUUAUUGGGUUUAAAGGGAGCGUAGGCCGGAGAUUAAGCGUGUUGUGAAAUGUAGACGCUCAACGUCUGCACUGCAGCGCGAACUGGUUUCCUUGAGUACGCACAAAGUGGGCGGAAUUCGUGGUGUAGCGGUGAAAUGCUUAGAUAUCACGAAGAACUCCGAUUGCGAAGGCAGCUCACUGGAGCGCAACUGACGCUGAAGCUCGAAAGUGCGGGUAUCGAACAGGAUUAGAUACCCUGGUAGUCCGCACGGUAAACGAUGGAUGCCCGCUGUUGGUCUGAAUAGGUCAGCGGCCAAGCGAAAGCAUUAAGCAUCCCACCUGGGGAGUACGCCGGCAACGGUGCAACUCAAAGGAAUUGACGGA
RNAcentral lists this ribosomal RNA (926 nucleotides) under uncultured Bacteroidota bacterium. Its description in RNAcentral is "bacterial SSU rRNA". It matches the Rfam family "Bacterial small subunit ribosomal RNA", at positions 1 to 917 of the family's 1533-position model. The record is from RNAcentral. Lineage: Bacteria; Pseudomonadati; Bacteroidota.